RNAcentral lists this ribosomal RNA (783 nucleotides) under uncultured bacterium. RNAcentral describes it as "bacterial SSU rRNA". It matches the Rfam family "Bacterial small subunit ribosomal RNA", at positions 50 to 806 of the family's 1533-position model. The record is from RNAcentral.
CGAGCGAGCUUGCCUAGAUGAUUUUAGUGCUUGCACUAAAUGAAACUAGAUACAAGCGAGCGGCGGACGGGUGAGUAACACGUGGGUAACCUGCCCAAGAGACUGGGAUAACACCUGGAAACAGAUGCUAAUACCGGAUAACAACACUAGACGCAUGUCUAGAGUUUGAAAGAUGGUUCUGCUAUCACUCUUGGAUGGACCUGCGGUGCAUUAGCUAGUUGGUAAGGUAACGGCUUACCAAGGCAAUGAUGCAUAGCCGAGUUGAGAGACUGAUCGGCCACAUUGGGACUGAGACACGGCCCAAACUCCUACGGGAGGCAGCAGUAGGGAAUCUUCCACAAUGGACGAAAGUCUGAUGGAGCAACGCCGCGUGAGUGAAGAAGGGUUUCGGCUCGUAAAGCUCUGUUGGUAGUGAAGAAAGAUAGAGGUAGUAACUGGCCUUUAUUUGACGGUAAUUACUUAGAAAGUCACGGCUAACUACGUGCCAGCAGCCGCGGUAAUACGUAGGUGGCAAGCGUUGUCCGGAUUUAUUGGGCGUAAAGCGAGUGCAGGCGGUUCAAUAAGUCUGAUGUGAAAGCCUUCGGCUCAACCGGAGAAUUGCAUCAGAAACUGUUGAACUUGAGUGCAGAAGAGGAGAGUGGAACUCCAUGUGUAGCGGUGGAAUGCGUAGAUAUAUGGAAGAACACCAGUGGCGAAGGCGGCUCUCUGGUCUGCAACUGACGCUGAGGCUCGAAAGCAUGGGUAGCGAACAGGAUUAGAUACCCUGGUAGUCCAUGCCGUAAA